AACUUUAUAUUCAAAAAUGAUAUUAAAAUGCAAUUUUAAAGGAAUAACUAAAUGUUAUUAAAGUUU
This 66-nucleotide transfer RNA is filed under the name Epistrophe bashanensis. RNAcentral's name for it is "tRNA-Cys". Lineage: Eukaryota; Metazoa; Arthropoda; Insecta; Diptera; Syrphidae. The record is from RNAcentral.